This 175-nucleotide microRNA precursor is filed under the name Cajanus cajan (pigeon pea). RNAcentral's name for it is "miRNA gene-KK1_044656". Lineage: Eukaryota; Viridiplantae; Streptophyta; Magnoliopsida; Fabales; Fabaceae. The record is from RNAcentral.
UUAAUAUAUAAAUUUUGCAAAUUUUUAAAAAAUUUAAAAACUAAUUGAUACUUUGUUAUAUAAAUUUAAGUCAAUGUAUAAAAUAUUUUUAUGAUUAUCUAUCAAUUUGAAUUAUAGAAACGAAGUAUCAAAUAGUUUUUAAAUUCUUAAAAAAUUUGCAAACUUAAUUUAUGCU